GGCACCGGAUCGAAUUCGAUACUGACCGAUCGGCUUCGAGUGUCCGUCUCAGAUCUUGCCCCUGAGACGGAGAUCGACAUCGAGCUGGUCUGCGAUUGCCCCGUCGUCGUAUCCGUCACCGUACAAUAGACGCCGAUCUGCUGGAGAUACGACGGGAUUUGCGAUGCAUUGAGCUGGUAUUCGUCGGUUCCCAGCACUCCAUUCAAAGUCGGGAUGCCCGUCUUCAAAACCGCGUCGGAAGAGCCUGAAAAGGUCCAUUUCGUUGUGAAGGAAUGAGUGGGAUUAGGAUUGAUGAAUGUCGCCUUGAGGAGCACCGACCAGUCGGGAGUGAUCGUCUGGACUGGUGGAGUGAUGACCAGAUUCGUGAUUCCCAUCCCGACUUCGACGGCCGUUGUGGCUGAUCCGGAUCGGCCCUGGUUGUCCGUGGCUGUCAGAAUGUAGGUGUAGAGUCCCGCGGAAAGACUGUAGUCGGGAAAGGCGCCGACCCACAUGCCAUUCUGCAGGACUGGUUGCGUCGUGAUGCUGUACGGAUAGCCUCCGGGCUGUUUCAGAGUCCACGUAAACGUCACCGUCGCAUUCGGGUCGGGAUCGCCUACCAUCCCUACCACGAUGUCAUGCUGACCGCUGGCGACCCUGGGAGCGGUCGGAGUCAGCAGGACAUUGAGCACCGAACUGCUGCUUGAGCUGCUCGACGCCGGCACGCCGGGGACUGAACCGGGAGGGGGGACUGCGGUGAUGAUCAGCGUCGCCACCGCGCUGGCGCUCACGCCCGUGUUGUCGGUCACGACGUAGGUGAUCGUGUACGUGCCGGCCUGCGUCGGCGUGAACUGGAAGGAAUCGCUGCCAAUUCCGUUGAUAACCGUCGGGUGCCCGGCCGUUGUGGAACCCGUCUGCCCGGUGAUGAUCCAACUCGCUGUGACCGAGGCCUGAGCAUCGAGAUCGACGAAAGCCGCGUUCAACAGAACCGGUUGAUUGACCGUUCCGGUGGCGUUUGGCGGAGUGAUCGCUACUGAGUUCGGCCCGCGAACCUGAUACGUGAAUCGAUCCGCAGCGGUCACGGCCGACCAGCCACCCGGCGUGAUCACCCUCACAUCAACUGUGCCGGCUCCCUGCUCGGGCGCCGUCACGGUAAUUGACGUGGAGGAAUUCACAACGAACGUUGUCGUUUCGACCGAACCGAAGCGGACGAACGUCGUCCCCGCCAGAUCGGUCCCCGUGAUCGUAACGCUUGUUCCCCCGCUGAUCGGGCCGCUGGAGGUGCUGAGCGAGGUGAUGACCGGCAGCGGCAGUACAUAGGUGAACGAAUCGGACCAGGUGAUUGCCGAUGUUCCACCGGGAGUUGUCACGGUGAUGUCGACCGUUCCUGCGGCAUGCGCAGGGGAGACGACGGUGAUCGACGUGUCGGAAUUCACGGUGAACGAUGUCGCCGCCGUCGUUCCGAACUUAACUGCGGUGGUUCCGGUCAGAUUGCUCCCGUUAAUCGUGAUGCUCGUUCCCCCCGCGAUGGGGCCGCUCGUCUUUGUCGAGGAAGUAAUCACCGGCAUCGCGGCCUGAUACAUAAAGUUCGUCGCACUGCUCGUCGCCGAGGUUCCUCCGGGAGUCGUGACAAUGACGUCGACGAUUCCCGCAGUAUGCGCCGGCACCAUCGCCGACAUCGAGGUCGGUGAGUUCAAGUAAAAAUAGGUGGCGGCCGUUCCACCAAACGUCACGGAGGUCGCCCCGGUGAAGUUCGUACCGGUGAUCUGCACCCAGCCUCCGCCGGCCGUGGGGCCACUGGCUGGACUCAGGCCCGUGACGGUCGGCGCCGAAGCCGUCGUCUGGUAGGUAAAUCGAUCGGCCGUGACAAUCGCCGAGGUGCCGGCCGGUGUGGUGACCGUGAUGUCAACCACUCCCGCGGCAUGCGCGGGCGCGGUGGCGAUGAUCAACGUGGGCGAAUAAACCGUGAACGUUGCCGCCGUGCCGCCGAAGGAAACGACCGUGGCGCCCGUGAAGUUCGUGCCGUUGAUCGUGACGCUCGUUCCGCCGGCUGUUGAUCCGCUGGUUGUCGUGAGGCUGGUCACCGUCGGGACCGAGACGCUUCCCGUGUAGGUGAACAUAUCGGCGAGACUGACCGCCGACGUACCGGUGGCCGUCGUGACGGUGACGUCGACAGCGCCGGGCGCAUGGGCGGGCGCCGUCGCUGUGAUCGAGGUGGCCGAGUUCACGACAAACGUCGCCGACACGUUGCCGAACUUCACGCUCGAAACGUCGGUGAAAUUCGUGCCCGUGAUGACGACACUCGUCCCCCCGGCCGCGGCGCCGCUGGAGGUGUUCAGGGCGGUGACGGUGGGAGCUCCCGGGAUGCCUGAUACGUGAAUCGGUCGCCGACGUUCGUGAC
RNAcentral lists this unclassified non-coding RNA (2377 nucleotides) under uncultured fungus. RNAcentral describes it as "sequence contains 18S rRNA gene, ITS1, 5.8S rRNA gene, ITS2, 28S rRNA gene". Lineage: Eukaryota; Fungi. The record is from RNAcentral.